Molecule: small RNA, 37 nt
Filed under: Propionibacterium ruminifibrarum
Lineage: Bacteria; Bacillati; Actinomycetota; Actinomycetes; Propionibacteriales; Propionibacteriaceae
Description: Propionibacterium sp. JV5 CRISPR_Spacer
Source: RNAcentral
UUGCGACUCAAGUCCUCAACGUCUCUGCCACGGCCCA